This 247-nucleotide ribosomal RNA is filed under the name uncultured bacterium. Its description in RNAcentral is "partial 16S ribosomal RNA". It matches the Rfam family "Bacterial small subunit ribosomal RNA", at positions 524 to 768 of the family's 1533-position model. The record is from RNAcentral.
UACGUAGGGUGCGAGCGUUGUCCGGAAUUAUUGGGCGUAAAGCGCGCGCAGGCGGUUUCUUAAGUCUGAUGUGAAAGCCCACGGCUCAACCGUGGAGGGUCAUUGGAAACUGGGGAACUUGAGUGCAGAAGAGAAAAGCGGAAUUCCACGUGUAGCGGUGAAAUGCGUAGAGAUGUGGAGGAACACCAGUGGCGAAGGCGGCUUUUUGGUCUGUAACUGACGGCUGAGGCGCGAAAGCGAUGGGGAG